Molecule: ribosomal RNA, 466 nt
Filed under: uncultured bacterium
Lineage: Bacteria
Description: partial 16S ribosomal RNA
Rfam family: Bacterial small subunit ribosomal RNA
Source: RNAcentral
GACGAACGCUGGCGGCGUGCUUAACACAUGCAAGUCGAACGGAAAGGCCCUGCUUGCAGGGUACUCGAGUGGCGAACGGGUGAGUAACACGUGGGUGAUCUGCCCUGCACUUCGGGAUAAGCCUGGGAAACUGGGUCUAAUACCGGAUAGGAGCCAUUUUUAGUGUGAUGGUUGGAAAGUUUUUUUCGGUGUAGGAUGAGCUCUCGGCCUAUCAGCUUGUUGGUGGGGUAAUGGCCUACCAAGGCGGCGACGGGUAGCCGGCCUGAGAGGGUGGACGGCCACAUUGGGACUGAGAUACGGCCCAGACUCCUACGGGAGGCAGCAGUGGGGAAUAUUGCACAAUGGGCGCAAGCCUGAUGCAGCGACGCCGCGUGGGGGAUGACGGCCUUCGGGUUGUAAACUCCUUUCGCUAGGGACGAAGCUUUUUGUGACGGUACCUAGAUAAGAAGCACCGGCUAACUACGUG